UACAGAGGGUGCAAGCGUGUUCGGAAUUAUUGGGCGUAAAGCGCGUGUAGGCGGCUUUGCAAGUCGGGUGUGAAAUCCCUCGGCUCAACCGAGGAAGUGCGCCCGAAACUGCAGAGCUUGAGUGCCGGAGAGGAUGGCGGAAUUCCCCAAGUAGAGGUGAAAUUCGUAGAUAUGGGGGAGGAACACCGGUGGCGAAGGCGGCCACCUGGACGGUAACUGACGCUGAGACGCGAAAGCGUGGGGAGCAAACGGG
Molecule: ribosomal RNA, 253 nt
Filed under: uncultured bacterium
Lineage: Bacteria
Description: partial 16S ribosomal RNA
Rfam family: Bacterial small subunit ribosomal RNA
Source: RNAcentral